GACAGAGGGUGCAAACGUUGUUCGGAAUCACUGGGCUUAAAGCGCGCGUAGGCGGAUGUUUAAGUGUCUUGUGAAAUCCCACGGCUCAACCGUGGAACUGCUGGGCAUACUGGACAUCUCGAGGCACUCAGGGGCGAGCGGAACAAGUGGUGGAGCGGUGAAAUGCGUAGAUAUCACUUGGAACGCCAAUGGUGAAGACAGCUCGCUGGGGGUGUCCUGACGCUGAGGCGCGAAAGCCAGGGGAGCGUACGGG
RNAcentral lists this ribosomal RNA (253 nucleotides) under uncultured bacterium. RNAcentral describes it as "partial 16S ribosomal RNA". It matches the Rfam family "Bacterial small subunit ribosomal RNA", at positions 524 to 776 of the family's 1533-position model. The record is from RNAcentral.